UGCCCUCAGACCCGCGCCUCCUCUCAGGGGCUCAGCUCCGCCCUCCCCAGCAUGCGCCCCGCCGCAGCACCGCCCCUGCGGCGCCCGGCGGAUGUGACGCGCAGUGGGCGCCAUGGCGGACGCGGCGGGCGGGCUGCAGCCGGAGGACUGCCCGGGGACCGGCAGCGCCCAGGCGGGCCGGGCCGCCGCCUGCCAGGGAUGCCCCAACCAGAAGCUGUGCGCUGCGGGCGCCGCCGGCCCGGAUCCGGCGGAGGCGGCGGCGCUGCGGGAGCGGUUGCGGUGUGUGAAGCACGUGGUGCUGGUGCUGUCUGGCAAGGGCGGCGUGGGCAAGAGCACCUUCAGCGCCCUCCUGGCCCACGGGCUGGCGGCGGACGAGAACAAGCAGGUCGCUCUGCUGGACAUAGACAUCUGUGGGCCGUCGAUCCCGAAGAUGCUGGGUCUGGAAGGAGAGCAGGUUCAUCAGAGUGGAUCUGGAUGGUCACCAGUGUAUGUUGAAGAAAACUUAGGUGUCAUGUCAGUGGGGUUCUUGCUCAGUAGUUCUGAUGAUGCUGUCAUCUGGAGAGGACCAAAAAAAAAUGGGCUGAUCAAGCAAUUUCUUCGUGAUGUGGACUGGGGUGAAAUUGACUACCUGAUAAUUGAUACACCUCCAGGAACAUCAGACGAACACUUGUCUAUUGUGCAGUAUCUCCAUGCAUUGCAUGUAGAUGGCGCUGUCAUAAUCACUACCCCUCAGGAAGUAUCACUUCAGGAUGUUCGGAAGGAGAUCAACUUCUGUCAUAAAGUGAAACUGCCAAUCAUAGGUGUUGUGGAAAAUAUGAGUGGCUUUGUAUGUCCAAAAUGUAAGAAUGAAUCUCAGAUCUUUCCCCCGACUACUGGAGGUGCAGAGAAAAUGUGCCAGAACUUAAACGUUUCCCUCCUGGGUAAAGUGCCUCUAGAUCCUCAAAUAGGAAAAAGUUGUGACAAAGGUCAGUCUUUCUUGUCUGAAGCACCUGAGUCUCCAGCUACAUCAUCUUACAGGAACAUCAUUCAGAGGAUUCAGGAAUACUGUGAUCUACAACAUACUCAAGAAGAAAAGAUUAUCUAAUUAUGAGCGAAAAUCAGCUCUGAGAAAUCAGUGAGUGAUGUGUACAAGAGGAGAAGGUAAUUUUGUUUUAUUAACUGUAGUUUGAAAAUUAAACAAGUGAUCAUUGUCUUUUGACUAUACUGUAAUUCUCAGUUAAGAUAAUCCAAUAGUUUCAGGUUAGUUUUUUUUUUUUUUUUUUCUAAGGACAUGUCUGCUCAUAAAAGUUCUGUAUAAACCACAAGCACUGUUCUCAAGCCUUUUACUCCCUUUUGGUGAAAGUCUUAUUUUGAACAUGCCCGAGAAAUGAGUGCUUCACUUCAGUGCAGAAGUAUCGUUCUGUUUUGAACGCCUGGGGAGUCAAGGCUGGCCUGACCAAGCUGCCUGCCCAUGGUGCGGGCACUGCUGCUUCAUCUGGGCUCCUGGCAGCAUCACGCAGCUCCUGCACGCUGGCAGCGAGGCACAGAAUUGCAGCUUUGGGCAUCCUUGGGCAUCCAUUACUGAAAGCUAGUGUUAAUUCAUUUUUUCUAAGAGGGAAAGUAUACAGACCAAUCUGCCUCUGGAAAGGCAACUUGCUCACCAUGUGUAACUUAUAUCAGUGACUAAAGAUAUGUACGAGUCUUCAAUAAAAUGGGUCAGACACGUUUAAUAGAUCUACAGAUCAGUG
RNA transcript from Oxyura jamaicensis (ruddy duck), 1727 nucleotides. It is a transcript of the gene named nucleotide binding protein 1, with no coding region annotated. The record is from RefSeq and is a predicted model, not a curated record. The transcript has 13 exons. NCBI's taxonomy places the organism in Eukaryota, Metazoa, Chordata, Aves, Anseriformes, Anatidae.